GCAUAUCAAUAAGCGGAGGAAAAGAAACCAACAGGGAUUGCCUCAGUAACGGCGAGUGAAGCGGCAAAAGCUCAAAUUUGAAAUCCUUCGGGAGUUGUAAUUUGAAGAUUGGCGUGGCUAUCGAGUCUCAAGUCCCUUGGAACAGGGCGCCUUGGAGGGUGAGAGCCCCGUAGAGAUUCACAGCAUUGGCGCUAAAUCGACGAGUCGAGUUGUUUGGGAAUGCAGCUCAAAGUGGGUGGUAAAUUCCAUCUAAAGCUAAAUACCGGCGAGAGACCGAUAGCGAACAAGUACAGUGAUGGAAAGAUGAAAAGCACUUUGAAAAGAGAGUGAAACAGUACGUGAAAUUGUUGAAAGGGAAGGGCUUGCAAGCAGACACGGUUUCGGCCGGGCCAGCAUCGGUUGAUGGGGGUGGAUAAGGCGGCGGGAAUGUAGCUCCUCCAGGAGUAUUAUAUCCCGUCCGAGAUACACCCAUCGUCGACCGAGGCCUGCGAUUCGUUCUAGGAUGCUGGCGUAAUGGUUGCAAGCCGCCCGUCUUGAAACACGGACCAAGGAGUCUAACGUCUAUGCGAGUGUUUGGGUGACUAAAACCCCAGCGCGGAAUGAAAGUAAGAGGUUGGAGCCGUUUGGCGCACAAUCGACCGACCCAGAAGUAUUCGGACGGGUUUGAGUAGGAGCAUAGCUGUUGGGACCCGAAAGAUGGUGAACUAUGCCUGGAUAGGGUGAAGCCAGAGGAAACUCUGGUGGAGGCUCGUAGCGGUUCUGACGUGCAAAUCGAUCGUCGAAUCUGGGUAUAGGGGCGAAAGACUAAUCGAACCAUCUAGUAGCUGGUUCCUGCCGAA
This 839-nucleotide ribosomal RNA is filed under the name Sungouiella thailandica. RNAcentral's name for it is "LSU rRNA". It matches the Rfam family "Eukaryotic large subunit ribosomal RNA", at positions 38 to 965 of the family's 3401-position model. Lineage: Eukaryota; Fungi; Ascomycota; Pichiomycetes; Serinales; Metschnikowiaceae. The record is from RNAcentral.